RNAcentral lists this unclassified non-coding RNA (152 nucleotides) under soil metagenome. RNAcentral describes it as "partial internal transcribed spacer 1". The record is from RNAcentral.
GCGAGUAUGGCCCUCACGGGUCUUAAUCCACCAUAAACACCUUUGUGAACCAGUCAGGGGGACUCGGCCGUGAAAGCCCAGGCGAUUAGCGGAAGGGCCCUCCUUUGCAAACCCGUUUAGAAGUCUUGAAAGUACUUUUGUAUAAUCUAGUA